RNAcentral lists this ribosomal RNA (497 nucleotides) under uncultured bacterium. RNAcentral describes it as "partial 16S ribosomal RNA". It matches the Rfam family "Bacterial small subunit ribosomal RNA", at positions 28 to 507 of the family's 1533-position model. The record is from RNAcentral.
GAUGAACGCUGGCGGCGUGCCUAAUACAUGCAAGUCGAGCGAACGGACGAGAAGCUUGCUUCUCUGAUGUUAGCGGCGGACGGGUGAGUAACACGUGGAUAACCUACCUAUAAGACUGGGAUAACUUCGGGAGACCGGAGCUAAUACCGGAUAAUAUUUUGAACCGCAUGGUUCAAAAGUGAAAGACGGUCUUGCUGUCACUUAUAGAUGGAUCCGCGCUGCAUUAGCUAGUUGGUAAGGUGACGGCUUACCAAGGCAACGAUGCAUAGCCGACCUGAGAGGGUGAUCGGCCACACUGGAACUGAGACACGGUCCAGACUCCUACGGGAGGCAGCAGUAGGGAAUCUUCCGCAAUGGGCGAAAGCCUGACGGAGCAACGCCGCGUGAGUGAUGAAGGUCUUCGGAUCGUAAAACUCUGUUAUUAGGGAAGAACAUAUGUGUAAGUAACUGUGCACAUCUUGACGGUACCUAAUCAGAAAGCCACGGCUAACUACGUG